AUUGAACGCUGGCGGCAGGCUUAACACAUGCAAGUCGAGCGCCCCGCAAGGGGAGCGGCAGACGGGUGAGUAACACGUGGGAAUCUACCCAACCCUACGGAACAACUCCGGGAAACUGGAGCUAAUACCGUAUACGCCCUACGGGGGAAAGAUUUAUCGGGGAUGGAUGAGCCCGCGUUGGAUUAGCUAGUUGGUGGGGUAAAGGCCUACCAAGGCGACGAUCCAUAGCUGGUCUGAGAGGAUGAUCAGCCACAUUGGGACUGAGACACGGCCCAAACUCCUACGGGAGGCAGCAGUGGGGAAUAUUGGACAAUGGGCGCAAGCCUGAUCCAGCCAUGCCGCGUGAGUGAUGAAGGUCUUAGGAUUGUAAAGCUCUUUCACCGGUGAAGAUAAUGACGGUAACCGGAGAAGAAGCCCCGGCUAACUACGUGCCAGCCGCCGCUGUAA
Molecule: ribosomal RNA, 447 nt
Filed under: uncultured bacterium
Lineage: Bacteria
Description: partial 16S ribosomal RNA
Rfam family: Bacterial small subunit ribosomal RNA
Source: RNAcentral